UUGAUCCUGGCUCAGAAUCAACGCUGGCGGCGUGCCUAACACGUGCAAGUCGAACGCGAAAGGGGAGCAAUCCCUGAGUAGAGUGGCAAACGGGUGAGUUACACGUGGGUGACCUGCCUUCGAGUGGGGGAUAACGUCCCGAAAGGGACUCUAAUACCGCAUGACAUCCUGUCCCUAGACGGACGGAGAUCAAAGCUAGUGAUCGCAAGACCUGGCGCUUGAAGAGGGGCCCGCGCCUGAUUAGCUAGUUGGUGAGGUAACGGCUCACCAAGGCUACGAUCAGUAUCCGGCCUGAGAGGUCGGACGGACACACUGGGACUGAGACACGGCCCAGACUCCUACGGGAGGCUGCAGUGGGGAAUUGUUCGCAAUGGGCGCAAGCCUGACGACGCAACGCCGUGUGGAGGAUGAAGAUCUUCGGGUCGUAAACUCCUGUCGAAUGGGAAGAAUGUUUCGUGGAUGAAUAAGCCGCGAAGGUGACGGUACCAUUAAAGGAAGCUCCGGCUAACUCCGUGCCAGCAGCCGCGGUAAUAAGGU
This 537-nucleotide ribosomal RNA is filed under the name uncultured Acidobacteriota bacterium. Its description in RNAcentral is "bacterial SSU rRNA". It matches the Rfam family "Bacterial small subunit ribosomal RNA", at positions 13 to 529 of the family's 1533-position model. Lineage: Bacteria; Pseudomonadati; Acidobacteriota. The record is from RNAcentral.